AACGAACGCUGGCGGCAUGCCUAACACAUGCAAGUCGAACGAGACCUUCGGGUUUAGUGGCGCACGGGUGCGUAACGCGUGGGAACCUGCCCUUAGGUUCGGAAUAACUCCCCGAAAGGGGUGCUAAUACCGGUUAAUGUCUUCGGACCAAAGAUUUAUUGCCUUUGGAUGGGCCCGCGUUGGAUUAGCUAGUUGGUAGGGUAAAAGCCUACCAAGGCGACGAUCCAUAGCUGGUCUGAGAGGAUGAUCAGCCACACUGGGACUGAGACACGGCCCAGACUCCUACGGGAGGCAGCAGUGGGGAAUAUUGGACAAUGGGCGAAAGCCUGAUCCAGCAAUGCCGCGUGAGUGAUGAAGGCCUGAGGGUUGUAAAGCUCUUUUACCCGGGAUGAUAAUGACAGUACCGGGAGAAUAAGCUCCGGCUAACUCCGUG
Molecule: ribosomal RNA, 433 nt
Filed under: uncultured bacterium
Lineage: Bacteria
Description: partial 16S ribosomal RNA
Rfam family: Bacterial small subunit ribosomal RNA
Source: RNAcentral